CCUACGGGAGGCUGUAGUGGGGAAUAUUGGACAAUGGGCGAAAGCCUGAUCCAGCCAUGCCGCGUGUGUGAAGAAGGCCUUCGGGUUGUAAAGCACUUUCAGUGGGGAAGAAAGCCUUGGGGCUAAUACCCUCGAGGAAGGACAUCACCCACAGAAGAAGCACCGGCUAACUCCGUGCCAGCAGCCGCGGUAAUACGGAGGGUGCGAGCGUUAAUCGGAAUUACUGGGCGUAAAGCGCGCGUAGGCGGUCUGAUAAGCCGGUUGUGAAAGCCCCGGGCUCAACCUGGGAACGGCAUCCGGAACUGUCAGGCUAGAGUGCAGGAGAGGAAGGUAGAAUUCCCGGUGUAGCGGUGAAAUGCGUAGAGAUCGGGAGGAAUACCAGUGGCGAAGGCGGCCUUCUGGACUGACACUGACGCUGAGGUGCGAAAGCGUGGGUAGCAAACAGGAUUAGAUACCCCUGUAGUC
This 465-nucleotide ribosomal RNA is filed under the name Vreelandella stevensii. RNAcentral's name for it is "partial 16S ribosomal RNA". It matches the Rfam family "Bacterial small subunit ribosomal RNA", at positions 338 to 795 of the family's 1533-position model. The record is from RNAcentral. Lineage: Bacteria; Pseudomonadati; Pseudomonadota; Gammaproteobacteria; Oceanospirillales; Halomonadaceae.